GACGAACGCUGGCGGCGUGCUUAACACAUGCAAGUCGAACGGAAAGGCCCUGCUUUUGUGGGGUGCUCGAGUGGCAAACGGGUGAGUAACACGUGAGUAACCUGCCCUUGACUUUGGGAUAACUUCAGGAAACUGGGGCUAAUACCGGAUAGGAGCUCCUGCUGCAUGGUGGGGGUUGGAAAGUUUCGGCGGUUGGGGAUGGACUCGCGGCUUAUCAGCUUGUUGGUGGGGUAGUGGCUUACUAAGGCUUUGACGGGUAGCCGGCCUGAGAGGGUGACCGGCCACAUUGGGACUGAGAUACGGCCCAGACUCCUACGGGAGGCAGCAGUGGGGAAUAUUGCACAAUGGGCGGAAGCCUGAUGCAGCAACGCCGCGUGCGGGAUGACGGCCUUCGGGUUGUAAACCGCUUUCGCCUGUGACGAAGCGUGAGUGACGGUAAUGGGUAAAGAAGCACCGGCUAACUACGUG
RNAcentral lists this ribosomal RNA (468 nucleotides) under uncultured bacterium. RNAcentral's name for it is "partial 16S ribosomal RNA". It matches the Rfam family "Bacterial small subunit ribosomal RNA", at positions 28 to 507 of the family's 1533-position model. The record is from RNAcentral.